Molecule: ribosomal RNA, 253 nt
Filed under: uncultured bacterium
Lineage: Bacteria
Description: partial 16S ribosomal RNA
Rfam family: Bacterial small subunit ribosomal RNA
Source: RNAcentral
UACAGAGGUCCCAAGCGUUGUUCGGAUUCACUGGGCGUAUAGGGUGCGUAGGUGGCCAGGUAAGUUCGGUGUGAAAGCUCGGAGCUUAACUCCGAAAUGUCAUUGAAUACUAUCUGGCUGGAGGGUCGGAGGGGAGACUGGAAUUCUCGGUGUAGCAGUGAAAUGCGUAGAUAUCGAGAGGAACACCAGUGGCGAAGGCAGAUCUCUGGACGACAUCUGACACUGAGGCACGAAAGCUAGGGGAGCAAACAGG